Molecule: ribosomal RNA, 253 nt
Filed under: uncultured Eubacteriales bacterium
Lineage: Bacteria; Bacillati; Bacillota; Clostridia; Eubacteriales
Description: uncultured Clostridiales bacterium partial 16S ribosomal RNA
Rfam family: Bacterial small subunit ribosomal RNA
Source: RNAcentral
UACGUAGGGGGCAAGCGUUAUCCGGAUUUACUGGGUGUAAAGGGAGCGUAGGCGGCUUAGUAAGUCAGAAGUGAAAGCCCGCAGCUCAACUGCGGGACUGCUUUUGAAACUGCCAGGCUAGAGUGUCGGAGAGGUAAGUGGAAUUCCUAGUGUAGCGGUGAAAUGCGUAGAUAUGUGGAAGAACACCGAUGGCGAAGGCAGCCUCCUGGGACGCAACUGACGCUCAUACACGAAAGCGUGGGGAGCAAACAGG